UAUGUAGGCAGCGAGCGUUGUUCGGAAUUACUGGGCGUAGAGAGUGUGUAGGCGGUGCUCUAAGUUCGGUGUGAAAUCUCCUGGCUUAACUGGGAGGGUGCGCCGGAAACUGGAGUGCUUGAGCGUGGGAGAGGAAAGCGGAAUUCCUGGUGUAGCGGUGAAGUGCGUAGAUAUCAGGAGGAACACCUGUGGUGUAGACGGCUUUCUGGACCAUUACUGACGCUGAGGCACGAAAGCGUGGGGAG
This 245-nucleotide ribosomal RNA is filed under the name uncultured bacterium. RNAcentral's name for it is "partial 16S ribosomal RNA". It matches the Rfam family "Bacterial small subunit ribosomal RNA", at positions 524 to 768 of the family's 1533-position model. The record is from RNAcentral.